RNAcentral lists this long non-coding RNA (142 nucleotides) under Chinchilla lanigera (long-tailed chinchilla). Its description in RNAcentral is "lncRNA (ENSCLAG00000025817.1)". The record is from RNAcentral. Lineage: Eukaryota; Metazoa; Chordata; Mammalia; Rodentia; Chinchillidae.
GGCUCUGGCAACAACAAAAGGAAAGGCGCAUAAUGGGCCUAGGUGGGAAAAAGCCAGUGUUUUGAGGUCCCUGAUCCAUCACGCCAAAGGGGAAGCAAGGAAAAUAUUUCAGUGACGACUAACCCAUGGCAAACAGGCCAGA